GGGUGGCAGCAGUGGGGAAUAUUGGACAAUGGGGGCAACCCUGAUCCAGCCAUGCCGCGUGAGUGAUGAAGGCCUUAGGGUUGUAAAGCUCUUUCACCGGUGAAGAUAAUGACGGUAACCGGAGAAGAAGCCCCGGCUAACUUCGUGCCAGCAGCCGCGGUAAUACGAAGGGGGCUAGCGUUGUUCGGAUUUACUGGGCGUAAAGCGCACGUAGGCGGAUAUUUAAGUCAGAGGUGAAAUCCCAGGGCUCAACCCUGGAACUGCCUUUGAUACUGGGUAUCUAGAGUACAGAAGAGGUGAGUGGAAUUCCGAGUGUAGAGGUGGAAUUCGUAGAUAUUCGGAGGAACACCAGUGGCGAAGGCGGCUCACUGGUCUGUUACUGACGCUGAGGCGCGAAAGCGUGGGGAGCAAACAGGAUUAGAUACCCUGG
Molecule: ribosomal RNA, 430 nt
Filed under: uncultured bacterium
Lineage: Bacteria
Description: bacterial SSU rRNA
Rfam family: Bacterial small subunit ribosomal RNA
Source: RNAcentral